CCCUUAGAUGUUCUGGGCCGCACGCGCGCUACACUGACGAUGGCAACGAGUUUUUCCUUCGCCGAAAGGUGUGGGUAAUCUUUUGAAACAUCGUCGUGCUGGGGAUAGAUCAUUGCAAUUUUUGAUCUUGAACGAGGAAUUACUAGUAAGCGCGAGUCAUCAGCUCGCGUUGAUUACGUCCCUGCCCUUUGUACACACCGCCCGUCGCUACUACCGAUUGAAUGGUUUAGUGAGGACUCCUGAUUGGCGCCGCCGCCCCGGCAACGGAGCAGCGGACUGCCGAAAAGUUGUUCAAACUUGAUCAUUUAGAGGAAGUAAAAGUCGUAACA
RNAcentral lists this ribosomal RNA (329 nucleotides) under uncultured eukaryote. Its description in RNAcentral is "partial 18S ribosomal RNA". It matches the Rfam family "Eukaryotic small subunit ribosomal RNA", at positions 1470 to 1796 of the family's 1831-position model. The record is from RNAcentral.